CUUCCUUUGCUCUGGAAGGUUCUCUUUCUGUCUCUUUGUCUUUUGAUUCUCUCUCUCAGUGCUUUGUGUUUACUCAAGGUAACAGCCAUGCUUUUGUCCUGGUCCACGUGGCAAGAGCUCAUAACAGCACUGACAUGCAACCAAAGAACCUGGAAGAGAAGAAUGGAAAUUUUUUCCACCCCUACAUCUGGCAACUGUGAAAGGGAUCUUCACUGGCUGGACACCACUGGUUCUGGGGCUGCUGCUGCUGCUGAGAGAUCCUGGGGCCUCUGACAAAAGCUGGCAGAAGUGAUUGUUUUACUAUGGUGCAUUUGCAAAACCAUACCCACAAAAGUGCUUCAUCUUCAAGCGAAUUCAUGGAAAGGACUCUGACAAGCGCAGGUUUCUGAUCAUAAAACGGAAUGGGACAAAAUUGGAAACAUCUGUUAGAUUACCAAGGCUUUGACUGGAAUGACAUAUUUGAGAGAGAUGUGCAUAGAAUCAGAUAUGCCUGACAGCUUCAAGGAACACAGGCUGCCUUUUAUGCAGCCAAUAAUGCCCCUUGGAAAAACAGGCUUGUACCUUGCUUACAGGAUUCCUGACAGUCUAAAUAGGGUGGUGACCCUACCACAGUAUACCUGAUGACAUCAUCAGAGACAUUCAAACUGCAAACCAGGAAAAUCAGUCAAAUUGUCCCUGUCUGCCUUCAUUCCAUCUGAAGAUGCUUCAAGCCUGGCAUUUAGAAAUAUUCUUGACUGGCAACUUUCAAGACUCAGGCACUAGGUUUAUAAUUUGCUGCAACCAUUAAUCUUUGUUUUUCUUCUGUUUACCUGAUUGCUUGCACAACAGAGGCCUAAUUUGGGAGCCCACCUGCAGGACUGCUUCCCAAAAUGAGACAACUCUUAAACUGAACUGAUCUAUUCCCAAGACUGAGUCUGGUUCAAAGAGAUUUGGAGCAAUCUGUCAACUUAAUUUCUGGACUGUGAAACUUCUUAUUUGAAGUUUCAAAGACAGUAUUGCAGGGGAGCAGAAUAUGUCUCUUUGUCAUCAGGAUUAUUUUAGGUUGAUUACUUUCAAGAAACUUCAAAUUAAGGAAAAGCUCUUUACCUCUCCCCACCCCUCAGUGGCCUAAAUUUACAUUAUUUGCUCCUUAUAUGCUAGGAAAAGAGCUAUUGCUAGAGAUACCUUUUAUACCUAAGAAAUUUAUCUUCACAACAGGACAAUAUUUACUUUUCAAACAUCUCUCACUUUCCUGUGAAUGGCCAUCCUUCUCUUUCUAUCCCCAGACUCCGGUACCUUUCCUUAGCUCAGGAUGUUCUAUAAGCCUUAAUUACCUGGCUGCCCUUUGGGGCUCAUAUUUUUAUGGGACUCCUAUACAUUCUGCUACUAAUCCAUCUUAUAUCACUUUAAUUAUUGGAUCAGCUAAAGAACCUAGAAGGGAAAAAGAAAACAUUUUUCUGCCCCUACGAAACAGUUUCUAGAAUUAAUUAUUAUUAUUAAUUAGAAUUCUGAAUUAGAUUGUCAUAAGUUGAAAUGCAUAUUGUAAUAUUUAGAGCAAGCACUAAGAAAGUAACUUAAAAAGUACAGCAAAAAGGAAAAAAACCAGAAGAAUUGAAAUGACAUACUAAAACUAUUUAUUCAACACAAACGAAAGAAAGGAGGAGAAUAAGAA
This is a long non-coding RNA of Lynx canadensis (Canada lynx), 1651 nucleotides long. RefSeq lists it as uncharacterized. NCBI's taxonomy places the organism in Eukaryota, Metazoa, Chordata, Mammalia, Carnivora, Felidae. The record is from RefSeq and is a predicted model, not a curated record. The transcript has 5 exons.